AGCGGCGCANGGGUGAGUAACGCGUGGAUCAUCUGCCUAAAAGUUCGGGAUAACGGCGGGAAACUGCCGCUAAUACCGGAUACGCUCCAAUUUCGGUUGGGGGAAAGUCGGCCUCUGCUUGCAAGCUGUCGCUUUUAGAUGAGUCCGCGUCCCAUUAGCUUGUUGGUGGGGUAAUGGCCUACCAAGGCAACGAUGGGUAGCUGGUCUGAGAGGAUGAUCAGCCACACUGGAACUGAAACACGGUCCAGACUCCUACGGGAGGCAGCAGUGGGGAAUAUUGCGCAAUGGGGGAAACCCUGACGCAGCGACGCCGUGUGAGGGAAGAAGGCUUUCGGGUCGUAAACCUCUGUCGGGAAGGAAGAACCCCUCAGGGCCUAAUAUGCUCUGGGGCUGACGGUACUUCCAAAGGAAGCACCGGCUAACUCCGUGCCAGCAGCCGCGGUAAUACGGAGGNUGCAAGCGUUAAUCGGAAUCACUGGGCGUAAAGCGCGCGUAGGCCGCUUUUUAAGUCGGGCGUGAAAGCCCUCGGCUCAACCGAGGAAUUGCGUUCGAAACUGAGAAGCUUGAGUCCUGGAGA
Molecule: ribosomal RNA, 577 nt
Filed under: Desulfovibrionales bacterium LSR-S2F3
Lineage: Bacteria; Pseudomonadati; Thermodesulfobacteriota; Desulfovibrionia; Desulfovibrionales
Description: bacterial SSU rRNA
Rfam family: Bacterial small subunit ribosomal RNA
Source: RNAcentral